CACCAGGUUGAUUCUGCCUGACGUGGACGCUAGUCUCACAGGUUAAACCAUGCAUGCGUAAGCGAAGCAGUUAUGUGGAGCGGUAAACGGCUCAGUAAUAGGCGAUUUAUUUGUUCUUUUGGGAUGGACAACAUCGGGAAACUGAUGGGAAAACAUCUAAGAUGCAUUUUUUUAAUGAGAUGUGUCGUAAACCUUCUGGUGCAAGAGAGUAAGACGCCUUCCUAUCAGUUAGUAAGUAGGGUAAGGGCCUACUUAGACGAAGACGGGUACGGGGAAUGAGGGUUUGAUUCCGGAGAGGGAGCCUGAGAGAUGGCUACCAGGACCAAGGUCAGCAGCAGGUGCGAAACUUAUCGAAGCCCGCAUUGGGGCGAUAGUGAGGAGACGUGAUAACUAUGGACGUGUAAAAACCAUUCUAAUAACUGGAGGCCAAGUCUGGUGCCAGCAGUCGCGGUAAUUCCAGCUCCAGUAGUGUCUAUGAUGAUUGCUGCGAUUAAAAAGUCCGUAGUCUAUCUGACUGACUUGCCUGUAAUGUGAUUGAUUAAAAGACGAGUAGGGCUAGGAAAGCAGAGAAUUAGGAGCGACCAAGGGCUAGAGUAUUGAAUGGCGAGGGGUGAAAUCUGAUGACCCAUUCAGGAGUGACAGAGGCGAAAGCGCUAGUCAGGGGCGAAUCCGAUGAUCAAGGACGUAGGCUAGAGAUUCGAAAACGAUUAGAGACCGGAGUAGUUCUAGCAGUAAACUAUGCCGACGCCGUGGUAUUUUUGUAUAGUGCUGCGGAAGAGAAAUCAAGUAAGGCUUUGGGGAGAGUACGCGCGCAAGCGAUAAAUUUAAAGGAAAUUGACGGAGGAACACCACAAGGAGUGGAGUGUGCGGCUUAAUUUGACUCAACGCGGGACAGCUUACCAAGCCCGAUAACCGUAAGAGCGUUGUACGCGAUAGGUUAAAGAGUGGUGCAUGGCUGCCAUCAACAGCUGAGGUGACUUUAGGGUUAAUUCCGGCAAGUAGUGAGACCCCUAUAAUUGAAUAGACAGGUGUCUUUAAGACACAGGAAGGAAGGGACUAGAGCAGGUCAGUGAUGCCCUUAGAUGGCUUGGGCUGCACGCGCACUACAGUGGUCAUUAUAAAAAGAAAGACAGUAGAUAUAAAGGUGAUCGAGAGGGAUUGAGCUUUGUAAAAGGCUCAUGAACGAGGAAUUGCUAGUAGUCGUAGGCUCAUUAAGAUACGACGAAUAUGUCCCUGUACCUUGUACACACCGCCCGUCGUUAUCAAAGAUGAAAUUUAGUGCGAACGAGCAUUAAGCGAGUAAGCGCUAAGUUUUAGAUCUGAUAAAGGUCGUAACAAGGCUACUGUAGGAGAACCUGUAGUAGGAUCAUACAGAUAACAAGUUUAUAAGUAUUGUUUUGUAUAUUUAUUCCUUACGCAAGGGAUCGUUUGGUUCUAUGUGCGAUGAAGGGCGAAACAGUUUUCGAUAUUGUAAGAUAUUAGUAAAUUGUCUUACGUCCCCGAAUUUGAUAGAGAUAUCAGAUUACUCCUUUGAAUUAAGCAUAUGAGUAAAGGAAGGAAAAGAAACUAACUAGGAUUCUCUUAUUAGUGGCGAAUGAACAGAGAAGAGCCCAAGUGUAAUCAAUACCAAUAUAUGUAUUGAAUUGUCAUAUAUAAUAUAAUUUAAUUGAAUCUGUUGGAAUACAGAGCUUUAAAGAGUUAUAGCCUCGUAGAUUAAAUUAAUUUGUAUCAAGAGUAGUUGUGCUCGGUAAUGCACAAUGAAAAUAGGUGGUAGUGUCCAUCUAAGGCUAAAUAUUACAUAGAGACCGAUAGUGGAUAAGUAAUGUGAACGAAUAUGGAAUAGAUUGAAAAAGUGAAAUUGCGUAAGGACCCGAAUGAAUCGGGACCGUCUUGAAACACGGACCAAGGAGA
RNAcentral lists this ribosomal RNA (1911 nucleotides) under Unikaryon legeri. RNAcentral's name for it is "bacterial SSU rRNA". The stretch from base 1 to 1372 matches the Rfam family "Microsporidia small subunit ribosomal RNA". The record is from RNAcentral. Lineage: Eukaryota; Fungi; Microsporidia; Unikaryonidae.